This is a long non-coding RNA of Teleopsis dalmanni, 1924 nucleotides long. RefSeq lists it as uncharacterized. The record is from RefSeq and is a predicted model, not a curated record. Lineage: Eukaryota; Metazoa; Arthropoda; Insecta; Diptera; Diopsidae. The transcript is spliced from 4 exons.
UGCAAAAAAAUAAAAUUGAUGUCAACCAAGAAAGUUUAAUACUAUGUGUAAUGUUAAUUUCACAUUGUCAGACUCGUGCGGUUUUUCCGAAAUUCCGUUACGACAAUGAAGCGGUAACCCGCCAUUUCAAACGGUAAAAUUUGUAACUGAAAUGCAAAACAUGUUUUGUCGUGCAAAACUACGCAGAGUUAAUAAUAAAUGCAUUGAAUUUGCAUUUUAAAAAAAUUUUGUUUUAUAAAAAACGCAUGGCUGUGUGAGGAUCCAUUUUAAUUUUGCAGAGAUUUGAAUGCAUUGUUUUUAUUCUCGAUUGUUAAUACUGAUUUCAGUUUUCUGUGACAGAAGUAACCUGUAGUUGGAACGUAAAGAUAAACUACUCUUUGGAAUGCUAUUAUGCUUUAGAAGGGCAUAUAUGAUAUGAGAAUGAUUCAUAUCAUGUAUUGUAUUUGGAUAAUCAUUUUGGAUUGACUGGUAUAACGUGACAUGAGAUUUAUUGUGUUAUUGAUAAGUAAAUAAGCUAACUAAGCUUAGUAAAUAAAAAUAAGUUUCAUAUUUGAAAAGCGAAACUUGACGUUGUGGCAGUUAGUAACUUAUCAGCACUUGAAGGUGCUAUUGAUCAGAUUCGGGAACAUAAAGUAAGGUUAAGCACAUAAGAAAUAUAACAUUCAACAUCAAUAAAAACACGUGUGGUAUAUGCAAGUACCAACAAAUCCUAAGGGAGACGACCACACUUAAAUGAAUUUGAAAAAUAAAGUCCCACUAUUCUAUGUUCAGAUGUGACUGGUAUUUUUAGCAAUAAUGUUCAUUAGAUGUUAUAAUUCACAUCUGUUUAAUGAGGUUCCUUCUGGGAUUGUGUUAGCAAAUAAAAAUUGAACUUAACCAACCAAUCACUUGCCUUAUUUUACUCUAACUAUAACCAAAGCACACCAUGCGUUUCAUCUGAGCGGUGUUUUGUAUGCCAUGAUUGGUUCACUUUUGUAAAGUAUCAUUUUAAUUGAGGUGAAACUGAUGCACAUGUCAAUGAAAGUUAUUGUUAAUAGAAUGCAGAUGAAGAAUAAUUUGAGAAGGGCUUAUCAUCAACAGGUUUUCAUUCAUGAAUGUGAUAUAGUAUGGAAUGAGCAGAUUUAUUAAUCAUGUUGUAAAAGCCGCUUCAACCAAAUAUUUAUAAAUUGUACUUAAAUACAUACAACACAAAUCCGAUUUAAGCCAACUAAACGUUUCUGCAAAUAAAAAUGAUAAAGUGAUCAGUUAUAACGAAUCAGAGAUAAACUUUCAACUUGAACUUGAAAACUAACAAUUAAAGUUCUUCUAAUAUAAAAUGAUAUAUUAGAAAUUAUUGCAAUGAAACGAAUUUAACUUGAAUUUGGAAUGGAGUGAAGUAAGAAAUUAAUAGCAUCUAAUAACACCUAUCAAGUAUCAUGGCAACAACUUUAAUCAAAUUUGUGUUCAUCAGUUAAAACUUCAUUACUUCAUGUAGUAUUAAUACACACAAGUAACGUAAUUUAUCUUUAUUACAUCCUCUCAACUCGAUUGUUGAAAAAUUUUAACAGUUUCCAGAAAUAGCUCACUAUUUAUAAAUGCCAGACAUCAUUUUGAUGAACAAUAUAGAUAUCAAGGAAUAACUUGGUAGGAAUAACUUCAGUCAAAUUUAUGUUCAUCAAUUAAAGCUUUAGUGUUAAGCACAGUAGUGAGAAGCAGUAAUUCACCUAUGAUAGUGAUGAGACCUUUAUAGGAUUGAGUUACAUUUGUCAGGAAUCAAAUAAGUUCGAAAGGAAAAAACACCAUUGCCUGUGUGAAGCUUCUUUAAAAUGAUCUGAUAUCAAUUAAAAUGCUUAACUCAACAUGUCUUUUCCAUCUAUUUAAAAACAUCAGACAUCAUUCAGCACAAUUUUACAACAACUGCAAGUUAUGAGGUAAACAAUACAUU